Long non-coding RNA from Passer domesticus (house sparrow), 1150 nucleotides. RefSeq lists it as uncharacterized. NCBI's taxonomy places the organism in Eukaryota, Metazoa, Chordata, Aves, Passeriformes, Passeridae. The transcript has 4 exons. The record is from RefSeq and is a predicted model, not a curated record.
UUAUGCAACAAACCACAUGGACACACCUUUGUUGCUUUUGGUGUCACCACUUUCUAAGACUUGAUUGGUUUUAAUAUCAGAGUAGCAAAUGGAAAAAAACCCCCAAAAACUAAUUGGAAUGCAUAGUGUUGCAGAUGCAGGGGAUAAAGUGUUUAAAGGUCCUGUUCCUUCAGCCAUUCAGCCACAUUAGGUGGAGUAAAUAAGGAAAGCUGGCAUGGGGGCUGACAGAGCAUGUUAUGGAUGGUGUUCAUAACAGCAUAAAGCCUCAGCUGCCAUGAGGAUGCUGACUCAAAACUGACUGUUUUGUGCAGCCAGAUCCUCAGCCCAAUGUUGUUUGGAAGUGUCUGUGCCUGGGAUAAAAUCGGGAUGUGUGAUACAAAACGGAUACCAAGACAUGGGGCACCAGGGAGUCUGUGGAUGAUUACACUAAGAAAUAGGCUCUGAGCUCCCUUGUUUUCUUCUCUGAGUACAUAAAUUACAUUUUUGGCCUGAAAGCUAAAUGUUUAGAUGCUGAGGGAGGUCUGCAGAGAGCAGACACUGGUAUUGAGUUCACUGAAGUCAGUGAAUUUAUGGCAGACUUUGGCUAGCAGACAACCUCUUCUAAUUCCUGCAGAUUAAAGGUCCUGUGUGGCAUUGUUUUAAUUCAACUGCACUUUCCUUCUUAGUUUCUGUUCUCCACAGCCAAGACCUUUCAGUGCCUUCUUCUGGACCAGAUCCUUCAUCAUUCAGAGGAGCAUGGAAAAGGUUCAACAUGCAGGCUGCUCCCAGUAGGGUCUGGGAGAAGCUGGUGACACAGCAGAGUAAAAACCCAGAGGUGACAAAAUCCAGCACUCCCACUGCACCAGUUUCAGAAAACUUCAUCAAACAGUGCUUUGUGACUGUUCUCUAUACAAGAAAAAUGAGCAGCUCCAUCUGUUACCUGAAUCCAUGGCCAUCUGUCAUUUUCUGCAGCAGUCCAGGCAUUCACAAGACCUUUCUUAUUAAGCCGUGCGUAGUAGGGGUACCACUUCUGGAGUCCAAAGAGAGCUCGGUGAGUGGAGGAUGCAGUGAUUUGUUGGUUUGACACAAUCCCUCCUUCUAUCCCUAGUGGGCCAGAGCACCCUGCAAAAUGGAAAAAAACCAGAAAGAAUAAAAAAUUUGACUGAACUGA